Molecule: transfer RNA, 76 nt
Filed under: Chloroflexota bacterium
Lineage: Bacteria; Bacillati; Chloroflexota
Also listed under: 2 other names
Description: tRNA-Ala
Rfam family: tRNA
About the family: Transfer RNA (tRNA) molecules are approximately 80 nucleotides in length.
Source: RNAcentral
GGGGAUGUAGCUUAGCUGGAAGAGCGCUGCCUUUGCACGGCAGAGGUCAGGGGUUCGAAUCCCCUCAUCUCCACCA